GGCACAGCUACUGUAGAAUCACCAAAACUCAUGAACUGAAUACAAGUGAAUGCUCCAAACUCCCGAACGGCAUACAAGGGAAUGCUCCAAACACUCGAACUGCAUACAAGGGAAUGGUCCAAACACUCAAACUGCAUACAAGUGAAUGCUCCAAACUCCCGAACGGCAAGGGAAUAAGGUAGCACUCCAAAUACACGAACAGGAACCAUACGAAUUGCUGCUACCAGACGAACAGGAAAAGCUCCCAAGCGGCUUAC
Pelobates cultripes (western spadefoot toad) is the source of this 257-nucleotide non-coding RNA. Lineage: Eukaryota; Metazoa; Chordata; Amphibia; Anura; Pelobatidae. The record is from the annotation of a GenBank genome assembly.